CCUUCACAGGGAAGGAGAGGGGUGGACCUGGAGCAGGGCUGCAGUGCAGUGAACAGGGACUGAAACCAGUAUCACCUGCAAGUGACCUGGAGAUGAUUAGAACUGAAUAUGUAUAUAUCUUUGUUGGAUCGAAUGCCUUGCUGAAUUAGAACUGCCAUACAAAAAACCUAGUAUGCCACCCUUAAGAAAAUACAGUAUGUUACCUCAGUUUCUGGAGUAGGAGACGGCGUAAUGGAACCAAGCGAUCCUUUUCGCGAGCCCUGGAGAUCUGCUGGGAUGGAUACAGGACGUUGCCAUUGAGUU
Columba livia (rock pigeon) is the source of this 303-nucleotide long non-coding RNA. RefSeq lists it as uncharacterized. The transcript is spliced from 3 exons. Lineage: Eukaryota; Metazoa; Chordata; Aves; Columbiformes; Columbidae. The record is from RefSeq and is a predicted model, not a curated record.